RNAcentral lists this ribosomal RNA (251 nucleotides) under uncultured bacterium. RNAcentral describes it as "partial 16S ribosomal RNA". It matches the Rfam family "Bacterial small subunit ribosomal RNA", at positions 526 to 776 of the family's 1533-position model. The record is from RNAcentral.
CGUAGGGGGCCAGCGUUGUUCGGAAUUACUGGGUGUAAAGGGUUCGUAGGCGGUGCGGCAAGUUGGGAGUGAAAUCUCUGGGCUUAACCCAGAGGCUGCUUCCAAAACUGCUGUGCUUGAGUGUGGGAGAGGCGCGUGGAAUUGCAGGUGUAGCGGUGAAAUGCGUAGAUAUCUGCAGGAACACCCGUGGCGAAAGCGGCGCGCUGGACCACUACUGACGCUGAGGAACGAAAGCUAGGGGAGCAAACAGG